This 204-nucleotide long non-coding RNA is filed under the name Rosa chinensis. RNAcentral describes it as "sRNA RchiOBHm_Chr6g0306931". Lineage: Eukaryota; Viridiplantae; Streptophyta; Magnoliopsida; Rosales; Rosaceae. The record is from RNAcentral.
CGGUUUAGAUCUGUGCUUGUUUACUUGAUCAGUGACUGUGCAAAGCUAAUUUCAUUCGUGCUAGUGUUGGAUCUGUUUGAUUGAGAGCAUUUGAUGCUUGUGUGCUUUGAUUUGAUGAUAUGGAAAGCUAGAUCUAUCAUGGAUACAUGGAGGUUUACUUACUGGUGUUACUAUGAACUGAUGAUUGAUAAGAUAAUUGUGUGA